CGAUGUGAGGGCCAUCUGCCUGUGACACUCAUCGCCACACUGAGCUCCAGGGCUGAAUCAGUUGAUUUGGCUGGUUAUGCACACGUCCCCUUCCUCACCCAGCGCUCCAUAUGCUCCAUAUCCCUUCCAAAGCUGCUGGGGCACAGAGGACGACCUCCCCAAUACAGACAGUACAUUUUAUCACUCAAGGCUAUUGGGCAGCUGCGCUCCCUGCUAAAACUUUCAAACCUGCCCAUGGUACUAGGGUUACAUUUCUAGCGCUUCCCCGGAAGUCAUAAGUAAAAUUUUGGUAAAAGAAGACUGAAAUAGGGUGUAAAAAUGGGAGACAUGCAUGUGGUGCAUUGUGU
Molecule: small nuclear RNA, 347 nt
Filed under: Cyanistes caeruleus (blue tit)
Lineage: Eukaryota; Metazoa; Chordata; Aves; Passeriformes; Paridae
Description: 7SK RNA (ENSCCEG00000000478.1)
Rfam family: 7SK RNA
About the family: 7SK was discovered as an abundant small nuclear RNA in the mid-70s but a possible function has only recently been suggested.
Source: RNAcentral